This 924-nucleotide ribosomal RNA is filed under the name uncultured bacterium. RNAcentral describes it as "bacterial SSU rRNA". It matches the Rfam family "Bacterial small subunit ribosomal RNA", at positions 8 to 930 of the family's 1533-position model. The record is from RNAcentral.
AGAGUUUGAUCAUGGCUCAGGAUGAACGCUAGCGGCAGGCUUAACACAUGCAAGUCGAGGGGCAGCACGGGUAGCAAUACCUGGUGGCGACCGGCGGAAGGGUGCGUAACGCGUGAGCAACAUGCCCUAUACAGGGGAAUAAACCAGGGAAACUUGGUCUAAUGCCCCAUAGCAAUAAGAUAAGGCAUCUUAUUUUAUUUAAAGCUUCGGUGGUAUAGGAUUGGCUCGCGUGACAUUAGCUGGAUGGUGGGGUAACGGCCCACCAUGGCGAUGAUGUCUAGGGGUUCUGAGAGGAAGACCCCCCACACUGGGACUGAGACACGGCCCAGACUCCUACGGGAGGCAGCAGUGAGGAAUAUUGGACAAUGGAUGGAAAUCUGAUCCAGCCAUGCCGCGUGCAGGAAGACGGCCCUAUGGGUUGUAAACUGCUUUUCUACGGGAGCAAUAAGGUCUACGCGUAGACUGAUGAGAGUACCGUAGGAAUAAGCAUCGGCUAACUCCGUGCCAGCAGCCGCGGUAAUACGGAGGAUGCGAGCGUUAUCCGGAUUUAUUGGGUUUAAAGGGUGCGUAGGCGGCUUUUUAAGUCAGCGGUGAAAUUUUGCAGCUUAACUGUAACAGUGCCGUUGAUACUGGGGAGCUAGGAUUUGGUUGCUGUGGGUGGAAUGUGUGGUGUAGCGGUGAAAUGCUUAGAGAUCACACAGAAUAUCGAUUGCGAAGGCAGCUCACAAAGCCAAGAUUGACGCUGAGGCACGAAAGUGUGGGGAUCAAACAGGAUUAGAUACCCUGGUAGUCCACACUGUAAACGAUGAUAACUCGCUGUCGGCGAUACACAGUCGGUGGCCAAGCGAAAGCAUUAAGUUAUCCACCUGGGGAGUACGACCGCAAGGUUGAAACUCAAAGGAAUUGACGGGGGCCCGCACGAGC